AGGAUUACACCUAUUCUCGAGGACAUGAAAAGGAGUCGCCAAGGAAGCGAAAAAGACAAUUAAAACGACAUUGUGAUCGGAAAAACAACAGACCAAAGUCAAUAUUGGAAUGGCUUUUCUAAGAUGGAAAGAGCUUGUGAGGAGCAAGGAUUUUAAAAGGGACGCCGAAGUUGCCUGCUUUCUUCUCGACAGCUAUGAGAGAGAACUGAGAGCAGUCACAUCAACACCAAUGAAGGGAAAGCCCUCUAGUAUUAACUACUCCAGAAGUGUCCAGCAUUUCUAGUGGGCCAGACAGAUGAGCAUCUUGGCACAACUGCAGAAGCCCCUGAAAUUGAGAACCUUGAACAGAGGUAACCCAUCAAUGCUCAUAAUGUCUAUACCCUAACCAUUUAUAUAUAUUUUUUUACAAAGCCUACAUGACAUGAGCAUCGU
Long non-coding RNA from Alosa alosa (allis shad), 432 nucleotides. RefSeq lists it as uncharacterized. NCBI's taxonomy places the organism in Eukaryota, Metazoa, Chordata, Actinopteri, Clupeiformes, Clupeidae. The record is from RefSeq and is a predicted model, not a curated record. The transcript has 3 exons.